CCACCGGGAGUUCUCAUCCAUCCCGCACCCGGCAGCCCCAUAAGCUCGCUCCACUUAGAAGAGACACGGAUAGAAGAGCCGCCGCGUGGGGGCACAGCGACAAGAAGCCACCCCGCAGGACAAGGAGACGGAAAUCCCCUACCUACACGGACCCGUCGCAGGCGGCCCUGCAAUCGACAGUAUGACGAGUCUAACACGAAAGGAACACUUGGAGAAAAAACGACGAAGCAAAUACUACAGCUCCUGGCCCCCGCGUCGUCCUCCCCAGGGCGACUCGGGCGGCGGCGCAUCUCGCCACCACAGCGGCCGCCCCCCUGCUUCCCCCCUCCUCGCCGCCGCCCGUUAGCCUCCGCCGGGCAAAGC
Molecule: long non-coding RNA, 363 nt
Organism: Triticum aestivum (bread wheat)
Lineage: Eukaryota; Viridiplantae; Streptophyta; Magnoliopsida; Poales; Poaceae
Exons: 3
Source: RefSeq, a predicted model, not a curated record